AAUAUUAUCAUUUUAAGUAACCUUCUGCUUUACAGGGCAACCAUCUCCCCUGACAAAGCAUCAAACGGCAGAGGAUGAGCCUUUUUUGCCUUACUGGAGUGCAAUAUUUUAAGAAACGGACACAGAGCUUUCCUCUUCUGCUAACUCUUCAGAAGAAUCGGUGCCGCUGUAUGGGACAAGUGCGCCUUUAGUUAAGCUCUGCAAUAAGCAACUUCAAACUGGAUGCCCUUAACAUGCUGGUUCAAACGUAUCAAAAACGGAAUAUUACUAAGAGCUGAAAAUAAUCCGUACUAUCAAUUUGACCGCUUUAUGGAAAAUGGAACGAGAAGUUAUAAACCAUAUACAAUGUAUAAGGAAACUAUGUUGCUAGUAAAAAUUUUUAUUAUAAGUCAAAGAAAUAAUUUCAAUAAUACAUUGAUAACUCAGAACUAAUGUGUGACGAUUCAUAUACAUACUUAUGUACAUCUAAUUAAAAAAGUAAUAAACAAAAGUUAUGAAAAACGA
Long non-coding RNA from Rhagoletis zephyria (snowberry fruit fly), 504 nucleotides. RefSeq lists it as uncharacterized. The record is from RefSeq and is a predicted model, not a curated record. Lineage: Eukaryota; Metazoa; Arthropoda; Insecta; Diptera; Tephritidae.